AGAGUUUGAUCAUGGCUCAGAACGAACGCUGGCGGCAGGCUUAACACAUGCAAGUCGAGCGCCCCGCAAGGGGGAGCGGCAGACGGGUGAGUAACGCGUGGGAAUCUACCCAGUUCUACGGAAUAACACAGGGAAACUUGUGCUAAUACCGUAUACGCCCUACGGGGGAAAGAUUUAUCGGAAUUGGAUGAGCCCGCGUUGGAUUAGCUAGUUGGUGGGGUAAUGGCCUACCAAGGCGACGAUCCAUAGCUGGUCUGAGAGGAUGAUCAGCCACACUGGGACUGAGACACGGCCCAGACUCCUACGGGAGGCAGCAGUGGGGAAUAUUGGACAAUGGGCGAAAGCCUGAUCCAGCCAUGCCGCGUGAGUGAUGAAGGCCCUAGGGUUGUAAAGCUCUUUCAGUGGGGAAGAUAAUGACGGUACCCACAGAAGAAGCCCCGGCUAACUUCGUG
This 452-nucleotide ribosomal RNA is filed under the name uncultured bacterium. Its description in RNAcentral is "bacterial SSU rRNA". It matches the Rfam family "Bacterial small subunit ribosomal RNA", at positions 8 to 507 of the family's 1533-position model. The record is from RNAcentral.